Molecule: ribosomal RNA, 490 nt
Filed under: uncultured bacterium
Lineage: Bacteria
Description: partial 16S ribosomal RNA
Rfam family: Bacterial small subunit ribosomal RNA
Source: RNAcentral
AUUGAACGCUGGCGGCAGGCCUAACACAUGCAAGUCGAAUGGUAACAGGAAACAGCUUGCUGUUUCGCUGACGAGUGGCGGACGGGUGAGUAAUGUCUGGGAAACUGCCUGAUGGAGGGGGAUAACUACUGGAAACGGUAGCUAAUACCGCAUAACGUCGCAAGACCAAAGAGGGGGACCUUCGGGCCUCUUGCCAUCAGAUGUGCCCAGAUGGGAUUAGCUAGUAGGUGGGGUAACGGCUCACCUAGGCGACGAUCCCUAGCUGGUCUGAGAGGAUGACCAGCCACACUGGAACUGAGACACGGUCCAGACUCCUACGGGAGGCAGCAGUAGGGAAUAUUGCACAAUGGGCGCAAGCCUGAUGCAGCCAUGCCGCGUGUAUGAAGAAGGCCUUCGGGUUGUAAAGUACUUUCAGCGGGGAGGAAGGGAGUAAAGUUAAUACCUUUGCUCAUUGACGUUACCCGCAGAAGAAGCACCGGCUAACUCCGUG